GAUUCUGGCUCAGGAUGAACGCUAGCUACAGGCUUAACACAUGCAAGUCGAGGGGCAGCAUGGUCUUAGCUUGCUAAGGCCGAUGGCGACCGGCGCACGGGUGAGUAACGCGUAUCCAACCUGCCUUACACUCUUGGACAGCCUUCUGAAAGGGAGAUUAAUACAAGAUGUUAUCACGAGUAAGCAUUUUCGCAUGAUUAAAGGUUUACCGGUGUAAGAUGGGGAUGCGUUCCAUUAG
Molecule: ribosomal RNA, 238 nt
Filed under: uncultured bacterium
Lineage: Bacteria
Description: partial 16S ribosomal RNA
Rfam family: Bacterial small subunit ribosomal RNA
Source: RNAcentral